This 464-nucleotide ribosomal RNA is filed under the name uncultured bacterium. RNAcentral describes it as "partial 16S ribosomal RNA". It matches the Rfam family "Bacterial small subunit ribosomal RNA", at positions 339 to 795 of the family's 1533-position model. The record is from RNAcentral.
CUACGGGGCGCUGCAGUGGGGAAUAUUGCACAAUGGGCGCAAGCCUGAUGCAGCCAUGCCGCGUGUAUGAAGAAGACCUUCGGGUUGUAAAGUACUUUCAGCGGGGAGGAAGGGAGUAAAGUUAAUACCUUUGCUCAUUGACGUUACCCGCAGAAGAAGCACCGGCGAACUCCGUGCCAGCAGCCGCGGUAAUACGGAGGGUGCAAGCGUUAAUCGGAAUUACUGGGCGUAAAGCGCACGCAGGCGGUUUGUUAAGUCAGAUGUGAAAUCCCCGGGCUCAACCUGGGAACUGCAUCUGAUACUGGCAAGCUUGAGUCUCGUAGAGGGGGGUAGAAUUCCAGGUGUAGCGGUGAAAUGCGUAGAGAUCUGGAGGAAUACCGGUGGCGAAGGCGGCCCCCUGGACGAAGACUGACGCUCAGGUGCGAAAGCGUGGGGAGCAAACAGGAUUAGAUACCCCUGUAGUC